CUUGUUAUAAAUGAAUAUAGUUGACGAUAUAUGUGAGAUAAUAAACACGUACGUUGUCGACACAUUCUUGUGAACAUUAUCAUCUAUAUAUAUAUAUACAUCUCUACUUUUCCAAAGUUUUUUUAGGAAAUUAUAUAACAAAUAAAAUAUUAAACCAUGAGGGCUUUUUCGUUUUUUGGCAACAAACAAACCGUGAGUCUCUUGAUGAGAAAAAAAUAUGAUUACUCAAUCGUGAAUAAAAGCUUGAAGGCAAUAUAAAAAACUUUGGAAUAAAUUUUGUGUAAGAAAGACAAUGUAAAAAACAUUUCACAUGGGAUUGUCUAUAGAUAAUACGGCAAAUUUAAGAUGCCACUUUGAAUUUCAGCCGACAUGAAAUGAUGAAAUUUGAAUUUAGUAUUGUUAAUUUAUAAAUUUAAGUAGGAAAACCCUAGAAAACCGACAUCUUUGGUCAAGCCAACAACAAGACAUAGUUAGAAAAAAAAAGCUAAUUUGAAAGUUGUUUUUGUUCUUCUGGUUUCGAAAACAUAACGUGUAUGAACCCAAUUUAAAUCCGGCCCACUAAAUGUAUAAAUAUCACAGCUCCAGUUGUUUUCACAUUGAUUUUCCUAAGAAUUUG
This 616-nucleotide long non-coding RNA is filed under the name Capsella rubella. RNAcentral describes it as "long non-coding RNA (CRUB_LNC003963)". The record is from RNAcentral. Lineage: Eukaryota; Viridiplantae; Streptophyta; Magnoliopsida; Brassicales; Brassicaceae.